Molecule: unclassified non-coding RNA, 469 nt
Filed under: Hevea brasiliensis (rubber tree)
Lineage: Eukaryota; Viridiplantae; Streptophyta; Magnoliopsida; Malpighiales; Euphorbiaceae
Source: RNAcentral
GCGUGAGGAGAUGUCUUCUGUUCUUCGGAAAAUGAGGUAAUGUCUGGCCUGUGUCUUGUAUUUUACUUUCCAUGUUCAUUGACUGUAAGCAUUGAGUUAUUUGUUCUGUUACAAGCAAUAUUUAGGGGAAAAUGCAUUCUAAAGAAAAAAAUUUGAUUGUAUUUUUCUUUUCUUUUUCUAUAUCCAUUCCAGUUCUGUAACAUUCUGUUGGUCUGUUUGUUCAAGAAAUGAGUGCUUGUGCUUCGAUCACCCAGAUGCCAUAGCACUUGUUGGAGUUCCAGUGCAACAUUUGUUGAUACUUAUUUUGUGGUGUCUGUUAUCAUUUUGAAAUUUUGCUGAAGAAUUUUGAUCGUUUGCAAUCUAAACCUAAUUUCAAAUAGAUUUGAAUUGAUUGGCAACUUGUGUAUUUUUUCAUUUUUGUUAAAUCUGGCUUGUUUUUAUGAAAAGAUCCCUUUGUCUGCUAAUGAUU